Molecule: ribosomal RNA, 253 nt
Filed under: uncultured bacterium
Lineage: Bacteria
Description: partial 16S ribosomal RNA
Rfam family: Bacterial small subunit ribosomal RNA
Source: RNAcentral
GACAGAGGGACCAAGCGUUGUUCGGAUUUACUGGGCGUAAAGGGCGCGUAGGCGGCUUAACAAGUCACUUGUGAAAUCUCCGGGCUUAACUCGGAACUGCCAAGUGAAACUGUCAAGCUAGAGUGCAGAAGGGGCAAUCGGAAUUCUUGGUGUAGCGGUGAAAUGCGUAGAUAUCAAGAGGAACACCUGAGGUGAAGACGGGUUGCUGGGCUGACACUGACGCUGAGGCGCGAAAGCCAGGGGAGCAAACGGG